Vicia villosa (hairy vetch) is the source of this 1438-nucleotide RNA transcript. RefSeq lists it as uncharacterized. The record is from RefSeq and is a predicted model, not a curated record. NCBI's taxonomy places the organism in Eukaryota, Viridiplantae, Streptophyta, Magnoliopsida, Fabales, Fabaceae. The transcript is spliced from 3 exons.
CGACGGCAGCGCCCGGCGACCUAGGGCAGCUGCCCGGGCUCUUCUUUCUCUCGCCUGAACCUCAAAAUAUCAUCGUAGUGGGUUCUCUCUCACUGAAGAAAUUGAAAUAUUAUAGUCAAUCAUCUCUCUCUCUCACUCAGGAAUAGUGAUGAGUUUAGAUGACGAAUCGUCGCGAGUUCUCUUCUUAUUUUUCUUUCACUUUUAAGCUCGAUUAUAGAUGCAAAAUUAUUGUUGUGAUGUUAUUAAUUGUUGUUGCAGGUUGUGGUUCAUAAAUCGGUGAAAAAUUGAUGCUGAAUUUAUGGUUUUGUGCUAUGCACACCAAGUGUUCGGUGAAAUGCUUGAACGGGGUUCUUUUGUUUUUCUGUCUUGAAAUCCCUUGGUUGCAGUGGUAAGCAGUGGCAAAGCCUCAACGCUGGCCUCUCUUCCUGGCGACGUUGAUGGUUACAUCUCCAUUUGCGGUUACGGUUCCCUUCUCUCCGUCAGAUUAAUCGGUUUCCUCCGUCUCUUCUCCGUUGUAGGAGCUUUCUUUUUCACUCAUGGCAUGGCCAACCUUAAAACUCAGGUCAGUUCUCGUUUUAUUGUUAAUGUUAUUUGAUAAAUGGAACAGGAAGAUGCUGCGAAAUAAAAUGCGAGAAAUUAAGUUUGAAAUGUGUCUUUGUAAAUUGUAAUUGCUUGAAUGCACGUGUUUGUUUUCUAUGCUGGAAAUGGAUGCCCUCUCUGCAUUGCCUUGUCAAGAUGAAACAAUUGUAAUAACUGUUUUUGAUAUUAACAAAACUGAGGUAAUUUCUUUUCUUAAUUACUGUAUCAUCUUUUUUUCUUAAUUACUAUAUUCUUAGCAUUAUCAUUCACAUCUCAAUGUUCCUCUUUAUUUCCCCAUAUGAAGAAUGCUAACAAGUAACAAAACAUUUCCUUGACACAAUUUGGUGAUUAAAUAUACUAGGACAUAGUUUUAUUUACUCCUAUCCUAUGCAUAUCUGUUUGGCACACAAACUGCAUUGAACUUCUAUUUUAAUGUGCAGUGUUUUUUACAAGGCCUGAUACUAUUAUUGUGUUAAUAAAAUUUUGUAUUCAAUCAAAUUCUAAAUUUAACCAAAUUAUUUCUUUCUUCAGUUGAAAAAUAAAAAGGAGGUCAAGGAUCAAAUUAAAAUUUUGUUGCUUGACAUGUGAGAGAUUGGAGAUAUAAAGGAUGAAGAUGGUAUUGAUGUUGAUAUUUAUGAUAUUUUUCUAAUAUAAGUUAUAUAUGAUAUAUAUUGUUACAUGGUCCUUAUUACUUACCAUAAGUAUUAUUAGGGGUCGCUAUAGAACACAACUGACAGUUAUCCGAACCGCUAGUCUCAGACCAAUAUUACAUAUAAGUUUUUGCCCAGGCUUUAUAAUUUUUCUGGCUUCGCCACUGCUUGUAAGUCUUAAUAUAACAACUUCUUAUAUUUCUCAAAGC